Molecule: ribosomal RNA, 465 nt
Filed under: uncultured bacterium
Lineage: Bacteria
Description: partial 16S ribosomal RNA
Rfam family: Bacterial small subunit ribosomal RNA
Source: RNAcentral
CCUACGGGAGGCUGCAGUAGGGAAUCUUCCACAAUGGACGAAAGCCUGAUGGAGCAACGCCGCGUGAGUGAAGAAGGGCUUCGGCUCGUAAAGCUCUGUUGGUAGUGAAGAAAGAUAGAGGUAGUAACUGGCCUUUAUUUGACGGUAAUUACUUAGAAAGUCACGGCUAACUACGUGCCAGCAGCCGCGGUAAUACGGAGGUGGCAAGCGUUGUCCGGAUUUAUUGGGCGUAAAGCGAGUGCAGGCGGUUAAAUAAGUCUGAUGUGAAAGCCCUGGGCUCAACCGGAGAAUUGCAUCGGAAACUGGUGGGCUGGAGUGCAGAAGAGGGGGGUGGAACUCCAGGUGUAGCGGUGAAAUGCGUAGAGAUAUGGAAGAACACCGGGGGCGAAGGCGGCUCUCUGGACUGCAACUGACGCUGAGGUGCGAAAGCGUGGGUAGCGAACAGGAUUAGAUACCCUUGUAGUC